AUGAUUCAGUUCAACACGGAUCACCAAAAGCUUCGCAUUAGCAAUUUUAUUGGAAAAGGUGGCUUCGGUGAAGUUUACAAGGGCAUUCUUGAUAAUGAACAAGUCGCUGUGAAGAAGCCGAUUAGUGGUAGUGUGCUAGAGAAUGAACAAUUUGCAAAUGAAGUCAUCAUUCAAUCUCAAGUCAUCCACAAGAACAUCGUUAGGCUCAUAGGUUGUUGCCUAGAAGUUGAUCUCCCAAUUCUAGUCUAUGAGUUCCUCUGCAAUGGUAGCCUCGAUGACAUUCUUCAUGGAAACAACAAGGUGCCUCUCAACUUGGGUGUACGUUUAAGUAUUGCUGCAGAAUCAGCAGAUGGUCUGGUUUAUAUGCACUCAAAAACCAAUACCAAGAUCCUACAUGGUGAUGUUAAACCAGCAAAUAUACUCUUGGAUGAUAAGUUUGUGCCAAAGAUCUCAGACUUUGGCAUAUCAAGGUUGAUUGCGAGAGACAAACAGCACACGGGAUCUAUCAUUGGUGACAUGAGUUAUGUGGAUCCAGUAUAUCUACAAACAGGCCUACUAACCGAAAAAAGUGAUGUCUACAGUUUUGGAGUUGUCAUCUUAGAACUUAUCAGUAGGAAGAAAGCCACACAUUCCGACGGCAGUAGCUUAGUAAACAAUUUCCUUGAAGCUUACAAAAAAGAGAAGGAAGCAACUCAGUUGUUUGACAAGGAAAUUGCAGUAACUGAAGAUUUGGAGAUUCUUGGUAGUUUGGCAGGGAUCGCUGUGGAAUGUCUUAACCUUGAUGUGGAUCAAAGACCAUGGAUGACAGACGUAGCAGAGCGUCUUCUCAAAAUGGAUCGAUCCCGUAAGUCGCAAUUUGCCCUGCAUAAUCCAGUUUGA
This 879-nucleotide ribosomal RNA is filed under the name Triticum aestivum (bread wheat). RNAcentral describes it as "partial small subunit ribosomal RNA". Lineage: Eukaryota; Viridiplantae; Streptophyta; Magnoliopsida; Poales; Poaceae. The record is from RNAcentral.